Molecule: long non-coding RNA, 1731 nt
Organism: Vidua macroura (Pin-tailed whydah)
Lineage: Eukaryota; Metazoa; Chordata; Aves; Passeriformes; Viduidae
Exons: 3
Source: RefSeq, a predicted model, not a curated record
UCUGAGGGGGUGAAGCCCCUCCACGGGCAGAGCGCCAGGCAGAGAGCCCCGCACAAAGCGAACUUUGUGUGCGGCGCUCACGUGAGGCGCUCGGGGCCCUCGGAAUCCCGAGGGAUCAGGCACUGAGGUUGGAAAAGACCUCUGAGAUCAUCGAGUGCAGCUUGUGACCGAUCACCACCUUCUCCACCAGACCACAGCCAUGAGUGCCACGUCCAGUUGUUCCUUGCACACCCCCGGCGAUGGGGACUCCUUCCCUGGGCAGCCCUUUCCGAUGUUUUAUCGCCCUUUCAGUUAACAAAUUCCUCCUGGUGUCCAGCCUGAGCCUCUCCUGGCCCAGCCUGAGGCCGUUCCCUCUCCUCCUGUCCCUGUUCUCCGGGAGCUGUAAAUUCGGAAGGAAAAUCAGUUAGAUUUAACUCGCAUUUCCUUACCCAGGGAGUAAAUCUCAAAAGAGUGAUUGCGUUAUUGUUCUCAAGCCUAAGCUGAGUACUUAUUUAGGUUAAAAAUAGCUAAAAAUCAUAUCUGGCCAAGCUUUGGUGCUAGGCCAUUUCAUCCAUCUUAAGCACUUUCUUCUUCAACAGUGAAGGUCAAUACAUAAUCCAUCAAAGAUGUGUUUCAUGGUAAAUUUAAAUACUUUUGAAAUGCAAUGUAGUAAAAACUGCGUCAAUUAAACCACCAUAUAUUUUGUUCUUCUGAUUUUUAUCAGUCAUGUCACCAGCACUGGAGUAGGCAGUGUGUGGUAACCCUUAGGAGCAGCAGCUCCCCAAUUACUGCUGCUGUUAGCAGAGCUGAUAAAGGCAAUUAUGCCUGGAAACAAUUAAUUGUGUUAAAAGAGCCUAAGUUACAUGCAUCACUUGGCAUGCAGCACCUUCCUGGCCUGCUUUUGUCCCUGCGUGGGUGUGGGUGUGUGUAUUAUUUCCGUGUGUAUAACUCUGGAGAGAGAGCCAAAAGGAGCCAGGAGCCAAGGGAGCAGGGGAGGGAAUGGCCACAUGGUCCUUGUCCUUUGGAGUUGAUAUUUUUGAUCUAACUGGGGGAAAAAAAAAAAAUCCAUAUAGUGACCAAAUACAAUUCUGAUGCAAUGAAAUUGCAGUCACACUCAGGAAGUGACCCAGCAGUUCCUGGCAGGACACUGUGAUGACGUGACAGCUUUAUGGUUGUUCUUUUGUCCUAUAACUAAACUCAGCUCCCCACACCUCCCACCCUCCUGAAAACCUUCUUUGUCAUUAUUAUCCACAGGGAAUAACGACCAGCAAGGUGACCCUGCUAGAGGAAGCCUUCCAGCCCUUUUGACAGCUGGGUGCAGAUCCGAGGGUGUGCUCAGAGGGAGUUUUACCACUGCCUCGCUGUGUGAUCCUGAGUGGAGUUCUCAGAUUCUCUCAACCGUGGUGCCUUUUGCUGAAAAAGUGGGAUAAUAAGAACUGUUCAGUCACAGGUAGGAGGGUGCCUUCCCGUUCUGCAGUCUUCAUGGAAGAUAAAGGUUUUGUGACAGCACAUCACUGGGACAGGAUAUGAAGGAUUGCAGAUAAACCAGGAUUUUGGGCUACAGGGUUUAUCAAAUAUUGCAGUGCUGCAGGCUGGGAUUUAUCAUCUCCCCAGGCUUGGUUCCUAUUUGCCUUUGCUGAAAUCCUUUUGAAGGGUGACAGCAAUCGAGUACAUUAGAACUGUAAGCAGGCAAAGUACAGAAGUCAGGCUUUCUUAUUACAGGAGAAAUGGAAUAAAAAAUUGUGAAGAUUA